UGGGGUCAGUUCAGUGGGGUCACCUCAAUGGGGUCACCACUAUGGGGACAUCUUUAUGGGGUCACCUCAAUGGGGUCACUUCAGUGGGGUCACUGCAAUGGGGUCACCUCAAUGGGGACAACUUUAUGGGGUCACCUCAGUGGGGUCACCUCAGUGGGAUCACUUCAAUGGGGUCACCUCAAUGGGGUCACUGCAAUGGGGUCACCUCAGUGGGGACAUCGUUAU
RNAcentral lists this long non-coding RNA (225 nucleotides) under Gallus gallus (chicken). Lineage: Eukaryota; Metazoa; Chordata; Aves; Galliformes; Phasianidae. The record is from RNAcentral.